RNAcentral lists this transfer RNA (68 nucleotides) under Aradus compar. RNAcentral describes it as "tRNA-Arg". The record is from RNAcentral. Lineage: Eukaryota; Metazoa; Arthropoda; Insecta; Hemiptera; Aradidae.
UGAGUAACGAAGUAAAAUAUUACAGCUAAUUUCGACCUAGCCUUAAGAGACAGACUCUCCCUACUCUU